RNAcentral lists this long non-coding RNA (1523 nucleotides) under Homo sapiens (human). RNAcentral describes it as "HSALNT0186182". Lineage: Eukaryota; Metazoa; Chordata; Mammalia; Primates; Hominidae. The record is from RNAcentral.
AAAAUCAGUAGAAAGCUGACAUACUAAGUUUGGAAAAUUGGCAGAAGCCAAAAGAGAUCUGGAGCAUGAACAGCAGGAGCCAGAGGAAGGGCAUGCAUCAGGAAUCCGAUGGUUUGCACACCAGCUAAGCUGCUGCUUGAAACCUGACCUCCCAGUGUCCCUCUGCCACUAGAAUAGGGUUCAACUUUUCAGAUUAGGUCACAUGGCCAAAUCCUGGCUGUCAUCUGUAGGUGGAAAAGGGAAGAAUAUGUCUUACUUUUCCCAAAAGAACUAACAGCUUGAGGAAGUUUGGUGUGAGAGGUGAGCCCCAGCAAUUUCCAUUCAGCCUGAGACCUGAAGAAGAUGGAAACCCAGAAUGAGCACUGACUGAACAAGAAAAAAGAAAGCUUGCUCUCUAGUCAAAGUACAAGGAAAGGAGAAGCACAGCAAGAAAGAAAACUUUUUGAAAAUAACCUCUCUAUUCCAGCCAAACAAAACGGAAAAUAAGUUGUUGCCCUACUCUCACCCAUCCUAUUUAAGAACUACUAGACCUAGAUAUCCCCCCACAAAAGAAUCUAACAAGUUGCCUCCAAAAUCUCAUUGUGGUGGUAUCAGAGAGGACUAAAUAGGGAGAAUGUGGUCUUCUACCCCACCAAGCAAUAAGGAAGUUCAGCUUUUCCUCUCAGCUUAAAUGGUGUCUUAGGAGGUCUAAUGCAAAGUCAGAACUUUUGCCAUCACUCAGCUGUACAGAACCUGCACCCACUACGUUGUCAUAGAGAUCACCUGAGAAACCAAUUGCCAACACUAGCCCUGCAGUAAAAAGGAAGGAGCUGCCCAUUCCCAUCACUCAAAUGUCAAUAGAGGUCAAGUGAGGAAUCCUGAACUUCUACCUCCAAAUAGCAGUAAUAAGGUGGUGCCCUCUAUCCCCUACCAGAGCAGAGAAAUAUUGUUAAAACAGAAGUUUUAAGUAAAAUCCAGAGUUUCAUAGCACAAUACGAAAAUGUCUGAGUUUUAAUAGACAAUCACUUAUCAUGCCAAGAACCAGGAAGAUGUCAAACUGAAUUAAAAAAAACACUCAGUUGUGGCAGUGGGCUGAGAUCGUGCUGGUGCACUCCAGCCUGGACAACAGAGUGAGACACCAUCUCAAAAAACAAACAAACAAACAAACAAAAAAAACCACUCGAUGGCAAGUUGACAGCAAUAUAAUGAAAAUAAUUGUGUAACAUCACUGAUAUUUUUUGGCUGUGUCCCCACCCAAAUCUCAUCUUGAAUUGUAACUCCCUCAAUUUCCAUGUGUUGUGGGAGGAACCCAGUGGGAGGUAAUUGAAUCAUGGGGACGGGUCUUUCCUGUGCUGUUCUCAUGAUAGUGAAUAAGUCUCAUAAGAUGUGACAGUUUUAAAAAUGGGAGUUUCCCUGCACAGGUUCUCCCUCUUGCCACUGCCAUGUAAGAAGUGGCUUUUGCCUUCCUCCAUGAUGGUGAGACCUCCCCAGCCACAUGGAACUGAAAGUCCAUUAAACUUCUUUCAUUUUUAAACUGCCCAGUC